Molecule: long non-coding RNA, 7323 nt
Organism: Cavia porcellus (domestic guinea pig)
Lineage: Eukaryota; Metazoa; Chordata; Mammalia; Rodentia; Caviidae
Exons: 2
Source: RefSeq, a predicted model, not a curated record
CCUCUCCUCGACUUGGAGGAACAUUUGUCUAUAUUAAAUGUGUAGAGGAAUGGCCUCCUACCUGGGGCUCAGCUCCUGAAAGAUGAAUUUGUGACCAUCCACAGCAGCCAGGAGAUUUGUGGGCACCUGCUCCAAAGCCUUUACUUGUCUUUGUUUAAUACUUGUCUUUUGAUACUCUCAGGAAAGGAUUUAAUGUCAGUCAUUUGAACUUAUGGGAGCUGACAUCCACAUACCUCUGAGGAAUCAUCAAAUCUUGGGACCUGACAUGCUGGCUUGCUGGCCGGGAUGGCCAGUGCCCCACAGCUGGUUUGAGACCUUACCCCAGGGAUGCACUUAGAUGCUUUCCCAUUCAUACUGAUCCAAGUAUGUUGGCCAGCAGAGACCCCAGGUCCACUGGUUAAGAGUUGUGUGGUGACAGCUCCCCAUUGGCUGUUUCUAGGCUUGUGCCAUGGUUCCUCAUCCUGAUUUGCUGUGCUGUUGAUGUUGUUGACUGUCUGUGGAGAAUAGUCUCUGAUGUGACAGUUCUGCCUUCUGAGCCUGUGAACUCUCUUGUGACCCAGGGAAGUAGCAGACAUUUUCAGCUUAGUUGUCUACAAUACUACCUGCUUAGGAAGUUGGAUACACAAAGGCAGUCUCACUUCUCAAUCCCAUUCUUUCUCUCCUUUCAUUCCUCACUUCUUUCCUCUCUUUCCUUCAAAAAUGCUAGUGCAUAAACAUGCCCACUCUCACCCCUACCACAAAAGCUUCUCCAUGGAAGAUUAUACAUCUUUCUCAAAACCACAUGCCCCAGCCUCGUCUGUCUGUCUGUCUAUCUUCUCUACGUCCAUUAUCUAUCUCUAUUAUCUCUUUUUAUAUAUACAUGUACACCAGCUUUCAACUGCCUAUGUUUAUCUGUUAGCUAUCUAAAAAAUAGCUGUAUUUUUUCCUUCCCCUAUCAGUUUCAUCUACCUAUAUCUAUUACUUAUCAAUCUAUUAAAUAUCUACUUAUGUAUCUAACCUAUCAGCUAUGUUCUAUUAAUGUAUCUCAGUCAGCUAGCAUUAACUCUGGCAGUUUUUGAAUUAGUGUGUGAUAAUGAAAAAUUACCUGUUGCUCUUAUGAUUCUUCUGAAUCUAUGCAGAGCAAUAAUACUUGAAUGACCCCAUGACUAAACAUCAUUUGCUAAGUGUUGUGGGAGUGCUAAGAGUGCCUGAGAGGCCUGCCUGAAGACUUGAAACUGGAUUGUGGCAGCCUUCUGGACACCCCUUCCCAUGGGCUAUCUCCCCAAGUGGUGAGAAAUGGGGCCAGUACCAUGUACCUGCAUAUUCUCCAGGUUACUGUGUGGGGCCUCUGCACUUACAGGAUGUUUUACUGGGAACCAGACACACUGACACCUGUGGAAGUGCCACUUGUAGUGACCAAGGGCUUAGCAGGGCAAUUUUCCAGCUCCCCAGCAUGAAUGUGCCCCAGGUGCUGAAUCACAGACUGGGGGGAUGGGUGUCCUUUCUAGGCUGCUGUCUCACUCUUGUCCAUUGUUAACAGCUGACGGUUGAACAAUGCUUGGGAGUUGACAAUGUGCAUCUGAUGACAGCUACACAUUAAGGGAAUAAAGUCUGCACAGAGCAUCUGUAUUAGUGAAGGAGAAGGGGAUUAAGAUAAAAUACAACAUCACAUUUUGUGAUUUAUACAUUAAUAGUUGCAAUGGAGAGAAUGAAAAGGAUGUGGUAAUAAUACAGAAUGUCUAUCCCGCAAUAAUCAAAGAAAAUAUUUGAAUGAGUUGUCAGAAGAUAGAGAGUUUUAAAUUACUUAAGAGAAUGGUUUCUCUGGGAAGGAAAUACAGAGACAGUUAAGUUUCCAGAAUGGAGCUCUGCAUGUGUGUGCAAAGAAACUUAUUGGGAUCAUGAUGAUGAAGUCCCGGCAUCGAGUGGGGUCUUUUGAACACUGAAACUCAUCAAUGCUGCUGUGGGGUCUUUUGAACACUGAACCUCAUCAAUGUGCUCCCAGCCUUCUAAAACAUUGAAUGUGGGAUGGCUUUGGAUGUGUUCUUAACAGAAAUGACUUCAGUAGAGGGAAUGAAACACAAACAGUACCACAGCUGUUGCCUGACUAGUCUAACAUUGAGACUAGCCUCCUGGCAUGUACUAGAAUCAUGGUUCAGGCUGGGACUUAUACCAUUGGUGUGUUUGUCUAGGUGUGGGCUGACAGUUCCUAUGCCCAGAUUCUCUCCAAGCUUGAACUGAGGCUAAUGAAGAGAAAUUACAUACAAAAGCCCUACAUACUUCUAGAAAGAGAAACAAAAGGGAGUACCUAGCUAAACUGCAAAUCAUUUCAUAGGAGAUCAACCCCAAACCAUGCAGCAAUGUAUGGUAUGCAUCACAUUUAAGAGAAGAUAGUACCAGAAACUUUGCUGACAUUUUAAGCUGUGUCUCAGUCUGUUUUGCAUUACUGAAUUUUUUUCAAAAAGAAAGAAAAUAGUUGAUACCAUAUCCACAUAAUCUUAGUACUUGGGAGGCUGAGGCAGGAGGAUGGCAAGUUGGAGAUCAGUCUAUAUUACAUAGCCUGGGCUACAAUAGCAAGAUUCUGCCUCAAAAAACAAGGCAAGAAAGGUAAAAACAAAAACAAAAGCAAAAACAAACAAACCCCCCCCAAAAAAGUUGCAUUUCUUGUAAACACUUAUAAUUCAGGUUUUUAUUAAAUUAAAUGGGUAUUACUACUGUUACUCUAAAUUAGUGGUUUAUGAUUCCCUUUAAUUGCAUACAAAAUCAGAUGACUGAAAGAAGUGGGUAUCUUGAAACAUUCUUACCAUCACCACAAUUGUUUGAUUGAAUCCUCUUAUUUGUAAGUGUGGAGAUUGAGUGUGCAAAAGUCUAAUGUGCUCCAAAUCUGUUCACUCGAGCCUAAAUAUCUCAUAAGGAUCCCCUCUGAACCAGGCACUGUGCUACACAUUUUGAGCCCGGCCCAAAACCAGGUUCUAAAGUAAUGCCCUUCUCCUAUUUUUUCCCAGCUUUCUUAUACAUUAGGCUAACCUCUCCUGCAGUUGCCACUGAAUUUUGGCAGAGUAAUAAAUGCUAUACCUACAUCAGCCUGAGAGUACACUGAAGGGGUCCCUCUGUGGAAACAUGCAGAGUAAUGAGCCCUGCUUCUGCGGGAACAGCUCAGCACACGGGUCCACAAGGUCAGUCUGGGGAACCCAGCGGGGUGCGAUUCUUGUCUGUGGGUCUGCUUCUCUGUGGCUGGGCCCUGCGACCCUGUGUAGAUUUUUGCAGGAGAGUAAAAUAACCUCCAGCCACUAAUCACACAUGGGCUGCACACUCCACCAGUACAAAACAUUAUCUUCAAAUGUAUAAAUUAAUCAAAAAGGAAAGAUAAAAAGAUAAAGAUAAAAGGAAGCAUAUUGGAAGACUCUGCCUUUGAUGCCGCUUGUGGCUCCCUGCUUUCUGAGCCUCAGUCUCGUGACUGAGCAGCCAGAGCCACUCAGGGCAAGUUGGCCAAGACCUUCCGGGCCUGCGUCCUCCACAGGGGACCUAGGGGGCUCAUUAGCAGAACAGAUUCAUUGGAAGAAUGGGAAGAAAUUGGAGAUUGCUGUAACUUUUGAGGAUUAUAUUAAAAAUAACAUAAUUAUUUCAAAGAGUAUUUCAGCUAUUGACCAAAACUAAGAAAUAAUUGUAACAGCUGUCUGUGUUAUGGAUUGGCCCUGGAUUAGGGACCACACUUGUUUGGAUACCUGUGAGACUGACAGUCUUCCCCUUUCACUAUUUCAAGAUGGCUCUGAUUUAUCCUUGAAGGUGACAUUGAGCACAGCAAAGGAGGCUUUGGAGGUCAGGGACUAUCUGAGAAGUUCAGACGAAAUUAUCCUUUGUUAAGGAAGAGAGGACUCAUGCCGGCCCACCUCCCCUUCUCUCUCCCUCUUUCCUAGUUUCUUUUAAUCAUUUGUUCUUUAGUUUCCAGAUGAGCUUUGCUGGGCACCCUUGGUGACAUCUCUACCAGACUGGAAACUACUAAUUAAUGUCACCUGCUGGGGAGUUGGACAGACAUUAGCUAGUAGUGACUUUAUCACCUGUGCAAAAAUUCAAUCGUGGUUUAAAAAGAAAUGUGUGGUUCUGGGGGUUCAGACCAAGAGUGCUCUGCAACAGAGCUGUACCCCCAGUCCUUUUUAUUUCCACAAUGGUUUCACUAAGUCACCUGGGCUGGCCUUGAAAUUGUGAUCUUCUUGCCUUGCCUCUGGAGUAACUUGAUUUUAGGCACACAUUACCAUAUUCAGUGAUAAUGUCUUUAGGCAUAAAAAGUAAGACAUUAGCAAUGAAAUAUUAGAACUAAACCAAAGUUUUGAACAAAUGAACUUAGUAGAUGUUUAGAGUGUUCCACUCCACAAUAUCAGAAUACACAUUCUUCUCAGGCGUAUGUGGGAUGUUCUCCAAAAUAGACCACAUGCUACCUCAUAAAACAUGAUUAAAUAAAUGUAAAGGAAUUGAAAUUAUCCCCUGUAUGUUAUGAGACCAUAGUGCAAUGAAAUUGGUGAUCAAUGGCAAAAGAAACCACAAGAACUUUAUAAACGUAUAGAAAUUAAAUAAUACCCUUCUGAACAACCAAUAGGUCACAGAUGAAAUUAAAGAAGAAAUUAAACAGUUUAUACAAUUUAAAAAUGAAACAUUAAAAAUGCUGAUUAGAAUAACUUCAAAAGCUCUGGGGAGAGUGGCUGGUGCCAGGCACAGCUUUAGAGAUCAAAGUCCAGGCUGACGUGCUGGGCCACAGACUGGAUGCUGGCAGGGAAUGAGCCCAGUGUGACUGCACAAAGCACUCUGAUGUCACAAAGCCCUGCUGUGGGGUGGAAGAAAGAAAUGAGGAUGCAGAGAGAAGAUCCCUUUCAUGUCUACACAGUCAUGAUGUAGUGCACAAAUACUACCAAGAGAGUCAUGUGGUAGCAGCCCAGCUCAGGAUGGAUUUGGACAUGGCUGGUGAUUUAAAGAAGCUGCUAUGUAAACCCUCAGACUUCUCAUUGAGUUCAACUCUCAUGCCCCACCAGCUAUUUUUUAAAGGGCCUCAACAGCAAGCACAAACCCUUAUAGAUGCUGGACUCUAGGUUAUGGUGCCAUGGUAGUGUGGAUUCAUCAGCUAACACAAAAACGCUGUUCUAGUGGAUGGUAUGUAUAAUAGGGAGCUACAUAUGGGGGCAGAGAGUUUGUGGAAAAUCACUGAACCUUCUGCUCAGUUUUACAGGAAACCUAAAACUGCUCUUAAAAAGACUGGGAUGCAGAAUGAAGUGCAAGCACAUGCUACAGCUGGAGUGAAGAUUGGAAACACGCUUAGUAAAAGAAACUAUACGCAAAAGUCAUGUAUUAUACAAUUCCACUUGCAUGAAGGUCGAGAACAGGCAAUGCUAUGAAGGCAGAAAGUGGAUGAGUGGCUGACUGGGGCUGGAGGAUGAGAAUGACUGCAGAUGAGCGUGAGGUUUGGUUUCUUUUGGAAUACUGAACAUGAAGUGGUGGUGACAGGUGAAUAGGCUAAAUACCAUUGACUUUAAAAGGAUAAGUUUAUGGCCAUUAAUGAUAUCACAAUAAAAAUGCUCAAAAAUUAUCUGCACAUAAAAGAGGAGAUCCUUGGAUGAAAAUUUAACUCCAAUUUAAUCCAGCAUUCAUGAGUGAGCCCACACAUCCUUUUUCCUUAGUGACUGCUAAGUAGUAUAGUAACUGCUGUGAUAAUGGAAAAUAUUCUUGUAAUCAUGUAGAUUCUGAAGUAAACUCACAAAGUCAUGCUAAUUGUUAUAGACCACUGCAGCUGCUGUAGAUAACAGGGUAUCAUCUAUUUUUCUGCUUUUAGAGAACCUUCCAGUUUCAUUGCUAUAGUGCUUGUAUAUCUUGGGUAAACAAUAGCUACAGAAUUUAAAAUAGACUAUUAUAAACAAGCACCACUCUGGAUAAAUGUCUUAGUGCUCCUUUUAUAUUUCAUAAACAUGCAUCUUCUGAAUCUUCAGAAGAGCAGAGAGAAAAUAAGGUAAGAAAGAUCUACAGCCAGAACUUCUCCUGGCACUGUGCAAAAGGCCAGACCAGCCAGGAACAGAGUUGGUAUUGUGAGUAAAAAAGAGAUUGUGUGGCUGAAAGUAAACCAAUUUGAACAUUUCAACAAGGAAUGAGCAACUUAUUAAUAUUGCCAUAAAUGUUAGAUGUAAGAGUGCUAAAUUUAAUAAAUUUAAAUGUUAAAAAUAUACAGUUUAGUACAAAAAAUCAUGUUCUGCUAAAUACUCAUAGUUUUAUAUUAAGAAAAUUUGUAAUUAUUGAGGAAGAAGUAUCACAAUUCAAUAUCAUAACCAUUUAAAACAAAAAAUUAUGAAAAAUGUUUUAGGCAUUGGGAAAGCGAUGAAAGAUAUUUAGAGAUUAUCAUAUUCUUUAACACCACCUACUCCAUGGUUGAAAGUAAUUGGACAUUUUACAAAGAAAUAUUUAUUCACCAGACUUCAAAGGCCACCUCAGAGGGACAUAGGUGCACCAUUGUGUCUCAGAUGUUGUUAAACCCUACUUGUUGAAGACAGGCACUGCUGAAGUAUGAAUACAAUUUUUGAAAAACUACAAACCAAAGUAGUUAAGUUCAACCAUUAUUAUUAAGCUUUAUCUCUGUCACAUAAGACUACUGGAAUAACAGAAGUGCAAAACUCAAGACUUUGUUGAUUUUGGAUAUAACUUCAUAUCAAUCAUUACUUUUUGUGCUUGAGAAAAUGACUUUAAUGAGAACUCUUUCUGCACGAAACACAUUAGGUACAUGGUAAACAGUAUCAGUAUAGGUCUAAGGAGAGAGCAUGUCAUUUAUAAAAAACUUCCAGAUGGUUUAACUUAGAUGGUCAAAAAUGACACAUUGAGUUCUAUUUGGAUGCUGCAAAAAUGUUUGUAAAUCAAUGAACCUUGUUUCUUUCCCCAGUAAGCCUUAUGUUUAAAUUACACAACAAGUAAUCAGUGGAGAGAAUUAACUACUAUGUUUGAAGAGCUAGAAUGAAAAUAAAUAAAACUGAAGAAUGUUUGGAUCCUGUUAUGGUUGACACAUUAUGUCAACUUGAGAAGUGUAGAGGUUUAACUAAUACAUUCAGCAGGAAGUCAAGAUCCUUAUUUUGUAAAUAUCCUUAUCCUGUGCAAGAGGAGAGCACAGAGAUUUUGUGAAUGCUACAGCUUCUCUGGGUUGGGGGGCUGUGUUUAAUAUAAAAAGGAAAAGAGACUUAUACUCCUCCCCCUAUUGCUCUGGAUGCUUUUGCUGGCUGCUGUUUUGAAAUGUUCCUUGGCUAUGCCAACCUGCCUUGGAGCCUUUGGUUAUGGACUGAAACCUCCACAAAUUGUAAGCUAAAUAAACCUUUCCUACCUUCA